GUCGCUACUACCGAUUGAAUGGCUCAGUGAGGCCUUCGGACUGGCUCAGGGAGGUCGGCAACGACCACCCAGAGCCGGAAAGUUGGUCAAACUCGGUCAUUUAGAGGAAGUAAAAGUCGUAACAAGGUUUCCGAAACGCAGUUAGGAACAGAUUCUUCUGUACAACACUUGCUGAAGCCUUAGCAGCCUGAAAGGGUAGAGUUACUACGACGUUAAAAAAAAAAAAAAAAAAAAAAAAAAAAAACUCUUCAAAUGCUAGUCUGCUCAUGGAGCAGGCAACACUAUCAAAUUGCGGGGACCCCCUAAAGACCUUAACACCAAGCGCCCACUGGAAACGGUGGCGUGGCCGAGCGAAUAGCCCUGGGUAUGGUAAUAGUUUUAAGGUAUGAAGUUGGCGUUUUGCCGACGGAAAUGGGCGAUCCGCAGCCAAGUCCUACGUCUUCGGAUAGGGAUGCAGUUCACAGGCCAAAUGGUAGUGGGUGGCCCGUGCGCGGGCUGCUUAAGAUAUGGUCGGGCCUUGUUGGAAACAACGAGGGCAACAAACCGUUCCGUAGGUGAACCUGCGGAAGGAUCAUUA
RNAcentral lists this ribosomal RNA (577 nucleotides) under Massaria gigantispora. Its description in RNAcentral is "partial 18S ribosomal RNA". The stretch from base 1 to 153 matches the Rfam family "Eukaryotic small subunit ribosomal RNA", at positions 1675 to 1831 of the family's 1831-position model. Lineage: Eukaryota; Fungi; Ascomycota; Dothideomycetes; Pleosporales; Massariaceae. The record is from RNAcentral.